RNAcentral lists this ribosomal RNA (683 nucleotides) under uncultured bacterium. Its description in RNAcentral is "bacterial SSU rRNA". It matches the Rfam family "Bacterial small subunit ribosomal RNA", at positions 62 to 758 of the family's 1533-position model. The record is from RNAcentral.
UUUAACCUGAUUCUUCGGAUGAAGGUCUUUGUGACUGAGUGGCGGACGGGUGAGUAACGCGUGGGUAACCUGCCUCAUACAGGGGGAUAACAGUUAGAAAUGACUGCUAAUACCGCAUAAGACCACGGAGCCGCAUGGCUCAGUGGGAAAAACUCCGGUGGUAUGAGAUGGACCCGCGUCUGAUUAGGUAGUUGGUGGGGUAACGGCCUACCAAGCCAACGAUCAGUAGCCGACCUGAGAGGGUGACCGGCCACAUUGGGACUGAGACACGGCCCAAACUCCUACGGGAGGCAGCAGUGGGGAAUAUUGCACAAUGGGGGAAACCCUGAUGCAGCGACGCCGCGUGAGCGAAGAAGUAUUUCGGUAUGUAAAGCUCUAUCAGCAGGGAAGAAAAUGACGGUACCUGACUAAGAAGCACCGGCUAAAUACGUGCCAGCAGCCGCGGUAAUACGUAUGGUGCAAGCGUUAUCCGGAUUUACUGGGUGUAAAGGGAGCGUAGACGGCUGUGUAAGUCUGAAGUGAAAGCCCGGGGCUCAACCCCGGGACUGCUUUGGAAACUAUGCAGCUAGAGUGUCGGAGAGGUAAGUGGAAUUCCCAGUGUAGCGGUGAAAUGCGUAGAUAUUGGGAGGAACACCAGUGGCGAAGGCGGCUUACUGGACGAUGACUGACGUUGAGGCUCGAAA